This 253-nucleotide ribosomal RNA is filed under the name uncultured bacterium. RNAcentral's name for it is "partial 16S ribosomal RNA". It matches the Rfam family "Bacterial small subunit ribosomal RNA", at positions 524 to 776 of the family's 1533-position model. The record is from RNAcentral.
UACGAAGGGGGCUAGCGUUGUUCGGAAUUACUGGGCGUAAAGGGCGCGUAGGCGGCUUCAACAGUCGGGCGCGAAAUGCCUGGGCUUAACCCAGGAACUGCGUUCGAAACUGCGAGGCUAGAGUGUGGGAGAGGUUGGUGGAAUUCCCAGUGUAGAGGUGAAAUUCGUAGAUAUUGGGAAGAACACCGGUGGCGAAGGCGGCCAACUGGACCACAACUGACGCUGAGGCGCGAAAGCGUGGGGAGCAAACAGG